GCGCUAGUAGUCUAGUGGUAGGAUUCGAGCUUCCCAAGCUUGCGGCCCGAGUUCAAAUCUCGGCUGGCGCA
This 71-nucleotide transfer RNA is filed under the name Nanobdellota archaeon. RNAcentral's name for it is "tRNA-Gly". It matches the Rfam family "tRNA". Rfam says of the family: Transfer RNA (tRNA) molecules are approximately 80 nucleotides in length. Their secondary structure includes four short double-helical elements and three loops (D, anti-codon, and T loops). The record is from RNAcentral. Lineage: Archaea; Nanobdellati; Nanobdellota.